CCUACGGGUGGCUGCAGUGGGGAAUAUUGGACAAUGGGGGGAACCCUGAUCCAGCCAUGCCGCGUGUGUGAAGAAGGCCCUCGGGUUGUAAAGCACUUUCAGUGAGGAAGAACGCCUGGUGGUUAAUACCCAUCAGGAAAGACAUCACUCACAGAAGAAGCACCGGCUAACUCCGUGCCAGCAGCCGCGGUAAUACGGAGGGUGCGAGCGUUAAUCGGAAUUACUGGGCGUAAAGCGCGCGUAGGUGGCUUGAUAAGCCGGUUGUGAAAGCCCCGGGCUCAACCUGGGAACGGCAUCCGGAACUGUCAAGCUAGAGUGCAGGAGAGGAAGGUAGAAUUCCCGGUGUAGCGGUGAAAUGCGUAGAGAUCGGGAGGAAUACCAGUGGCGAAGGCGGCCUUCUGGACUGACACUGACACUGAGGUGCGAAAGCGUGGGUAGCAAACAGGAUUAGAUAUCCAGUAGUC
RNAcentral lists this ribosomal RNA (464 nucleotides) under Vreelandella stevensii. Its description in RNAcentral is "partial 16S ribosomal RNA". It matches the Rfam family "Bacterial small subunit ribosomal RNA", at positions 338 to 795 of the family's 1533-position model. Lineage: Bacteria; Pseudomonadati; Pseudomonadota; Gammaproteobacteria; Oceanospirillales; Halomonadaceae. The record is from RNAcentral.